CCUCUUUAUUUGACCUUUUCAUUCAUAAUUUCACUAUCUGCACAUUGUUACAACACUGAACACGAGUCCAUAAAAAAGCAUUUCAACGUUUCUUAUGCUUAUGAAAUGUUUACACAGAAUCUCAAAAUGUCCAUCUGUCCACAAACGUUUUUGGUUGUGUAAAUUUAGAAAAUUUAAAGAAAGGGUGGCAGACUUAGAAAAGGGAGGAAGAGAGAGAUGAAGAGAUUAACCCACACAGAGACAAGCGUAGAUGCACUAGUUUGUUGUUAAAUAAUAUUUAUUUUAGAACAACCGGAUCAGCUUUACAAUCGCGACCUCAGAACCUGUCCACAUGCUCCCCCCUCGCUUUCCCUCAUGUAUUCAUCUAUCCAGUUGUACACUCACAUGUUAUCACGCACACACACAACAGAAGGUCUGGAGCCUGAGAAACAAGAGUGCUUAAAACCUAAACGUCCCAGAACCCCUGUUCUGGAAGCAAGCAGAAUUACUAUGGAGACCUCUUCACCAGACACGUGCACACACGCACACACACGCACGCACACACACACACGCACACACAUUAUCUCACCUGUACCAAAAAAGUAAUAAAUAAACAGCAGUUACACCCUCCAUCCCGCUCCUGUCAUCCCUCCAUAAUCCUCCACCAGUCAUCAUCCUCUCAUCCCAUCAUCAUCCUUCGGUCAUUCCUUCAUCAACCUACAUCUGUCGUUCUUAAUCUUCCUCAUCUCAUUUCUCUAUGCUGUCUCUUUUCCAUCAUCACUCAUCUCUGCGUCAUCCUCUCAUCCACCUAUCAUCCUUUCCCUCGUCAUCCCUUUCCUCUCAUUCGUCCAUCACACCAUCUCUCGCCCUGUAUCUACUCUCUCCAGACCUGAUCAGUAGUUUUCUGCUUAAGCUCUGUACACCUUUACGAAAAAAUCACAGCUGAAUAAAACAAUUUGAAUCAAAACAGAAUAAAUCAAAUCCAAAAGGAAUCUAGAAGAAGCACAACCGUUGAUGUCUAUUUAGUGUCCAGCGUUCUCAUCCUUAGAUUGAUUGGUAGAGGCAUAGUUUUGGGCUCAGCUCCCAUUGGCUAAUAGCCUGCAGAGAUCAGGAGGGGGCGGGACCACCACCGUGAUGUCACUGAAUCGGGAGACAUAAAGAGAGUGAGCCAGUCAAGAGCAGGCCUCCACCCUCGCUGAAAUCAUUGGGUAUACAUCCUCAAAAGUUGCAUAUGUUUUAAACUACAACAGCACGUACAGUAUCAAAAGUUUGGACACCCCUACUCAUUCAAGGGUAUUUAUUUAUUUUUACUAUUUACCCACAUUGUAGAAUAAUAGUGGGUACAUCAAAGCUCUGAAAUAACAUGUAUGGAAUCAUGUAAUACCCAAAAAAGUUUUAAACAGAUCAGAUGACAGUGGUCCAUUAUUCAACAUAAAAACCAAGAUAUUCCCCUUGAAUGAGUAUGUUUCUCCAAAAUGUUGACUGGUACUGUAUGUUGUGACACUAUUAGUUAAACUAUAUAAAUCAGUUAUUAAUGUGGUAAUAAAAUGUAUAAAUCCUUCAAUACGGCAUGUUAACCCGCUGGAUGUCUGUAGAACCAGCUGGAUGACUGUAGAGCAAGCAGAAUGACUGUAGAACAAGCAGAAUGACUCUAGAACCAGCAGAAUGACUCUAGAACCAGCAGAAUGACUCUAGAACCAGCUGAAUGACUCUAGAACCAGCUGGAUGACUGUAGAACCAGCUGGAUGACUGUAGAACUAGCUGGAUGACUAUAGAACCACCUGGAUGACUGUGGAACCAGCUGGAUGACUGUGGAACCAGCUGGAUUACUUUAGACCCAGUUGGAUGACUGCAGAACCAGCUGGAUGAC
Esox lucius (northern pike) is the source of this 1849-nucleotide long non-coding RNA. The record is from Ensembl. Lineage: Eukaryota; Metazoa; Chordata; Actinopteri; Esociformes; Esocidae.